GCCCUGUCGUGCUGCGCAUGAUUUAUACGUCAUCACCAAAGACCUUCGUUGUCCCUCAUGUCUCAACAUGGUCGUCUUCUGAGAGGAAUAACAAGGCGAUGACAGAGCUCCAGAGCCGGCAGAGUUAAACACGUGUGAUUUGAGGGACUUCUUCUCCGGAGCCAUGCCUCGCUACGAGCUUGCCCUGAUCUUGAAGGCGAUGCAGCGGCCGGAGACGGCGGCGGCUCUGCGGCGGACUGUGGAGAGUCUGAUGGAGCGGGGCGCAGUGGUCAGGAGCCUGGAGAACCUGGGAGAGAGACUGCUGCCCUACAAGAUCACCAAACACAACGAGAGGCACAGCCGAGGAUCAUACUUUCUGCUCGACUUCUACGCGGCCCCCGACGUCCUGCCGGGCGUCCUGAAUCACCUGCAGCGGGAUGUGGACGUGGUGAGGCCCACCAUGCUGAAGAAGGACGACCAGACUCCAGGCAGCAGCUGCUGCGGCCCCCAACAGUGACUGAAUGUAAGGAAGGAGUGACAGGUGUUGAUAAAGUGCAGCAGCACCAUGUAUCUGAUGAAUGAAACUCUCAGCUGGUGUAUGAGCAGGAGUGAUGCUCUCAUCCACGUGUGCACACGUCUCCAAAACGACAGGAUUGUUGGAGACCAAUAAGAUCAACAAGCGUCCUUGCAUUUGUGCUGCUGUGUAAUUUCCAGAUUUUUCGGUCCAAAGAUAUAAUAUAUAGUUCCUGUCAGUCGACUAACAAGUUCAUGACUGAUACAUCUUAGGUUAAUGAGAAGAAAUUUAUUACAAAGCCCUACAUGCACUAUUUUUAUGCAAUAUCUUUUUUUUAACAUGAGCUUUAGGGAUACAUUAUGGAAGAUAUUAGGAAGCAGUGGUCUCCCUAAAAAAAGAGGCUGUAAAUGAACUAUAUGAACUGUAAAUGUAUUAACUGCGUUUUUUAUGAACUGAGUUUGUGGAUAAGUCUAAGCCAAAUUGUUGAGUAGUAUCGAUUAAGCUGUUGGUUAAAAUGCUGUAACCAGAAGUGAUGUCCCAAAACUAUAAAACUUAUUCCAGUGUUGUAAAAUGACAAGUCAAUUACUCUUCAAAAUUAAGAACAAAGUUUUAAUAACACCCCUUCAAAAGUUUUCACCGCUCUUCUCCAGAAGACACACAGUUUCAUGCUUCCAUCUUUUAUCUUUUUCACAAUUGAUUACCAGCAUUUGGGUGUUGUGUUAUAAUAAAUAACUUUUUUU
This is an RNA transcript of Pleuronectes platessa (European plaice), 1233 nucleotides long. It is a transcript of the gene named mitochondrial ribosomal protein S6, with no coding region annotated. The record is from RefSeq and is a predicted model, not a curated record. The transcript is spliced from 2 exons. NCBI's taxonomy places the organism in Eukaryota, Metazoa, Chordata, Actinopteri, Pleuronectiformes, Pleuronectidae.